UGCCAGCCGCCGCGGUAAUACGAAGGGACCUAGCGUAGUUCGGAAUUAUUGGGCGUAAAGAGCUCGUAGGCGGUUCGGUAAGUCGGGUGUGAAAACUCAAGGCUCAACCUUGAGAUGCCACUCGAUACUGCUGUGACUAGAGUCCGGUAGAGGAGUGUGGAAUUCCUGGUGUAGCGGUGAAAUGCGCAGAUAUCAGGAGGAACACCAGCGGCGAAGGCGGCGCUCUGGGCUGGUAUUGACGCUGAGGAGCGAAAGUGUGGGUAGCAAACAGGAUUAGAUA
Molecule: ribosomal RNA, 280 nt
Filed under: uncultured bacterium
Lineage: Bacteria
Description: partial 16S ribosomal RNA
Rfam family: Bacterial small subunit ribosomal RNA
Source: RNAcentral